AUACGUAGGGGGCUAGCGUUAUCCGGAUUUACUGGGCGUAAAGGGAGCGUAGGCGGAUAUUUAAGUGGGAUGUGAAAUACCCGAGCUUAACUUGGGAAGCUGCAUUCCAAACUGGAUAUCUAGAGUGCAGGAGAGGAGAAUGGAAUUCCUAGUGUAGCGGUGAAAUGCGUAGAGAUUAGGAAGAACACCAGUGGCGAAGGCGAUUCUCUGGACUGUAACUGACGCUGAGGCUCGAAAGCGUGGGGAGC
Molecule: ribosomal RNA, 248 nt
Filed under: uncultured bacterium
Lineage: Bacteria
Description: partial 16S ribosomal RNA
Rfam family: Bacterial small subunit ribosomal RNA
Source: RNAcentral